CCUACGGGCGGCAGCAGUGGGGAAUAUUGGACAAUGGGCGAAAGCCUGAUCCAGCCAUGCCGCGUGUGUGAAGAAGGCCUUCGGGUUGUAAAGCACUUUCAGUGGGGAAGAAAGCCUUGGGGCUAAUACCCUCGAGGGAGGACAUCACCCACAGAAGAAGCACCGGCUAACUCCGUGCCAGCAGCCGCGGUAAUACGGAGGGUGCGAGCGUUAAUCGGAAUUACUGGGCGUAAAGCGCGCGUAGGCGGUCUGAUAAGCCGGUUGUGAAAGCCCCGGGCUCAACCUGGGAACGGCAUCCGGAACUGUCAGGCUAGAGUGCAGGAGAGGAAGGUAGAAUUCCCGGUGUAGCGGUGAAAUGCGUAGAGAUCGGGAGGAAUACCAGUGGCGAAGGCGGCCUUCUGGACUGACACUGACGCUGAGGUGCGAAAGCGUGGGUAGCAAACAGGAUUAGAUACCCCGGUAGUC
RNAcentral lists this ribosomal RNA (465 nucleotides) under Vreelandella stevensii. Its description in RNAcentral is "partial 16S ribosomal RNA". It matches the Rfam family "Bacterial small subunit ribosomal RNA", at positions 338 to 795 of the family's 1533-position model. Lineage: Bacteria; Pseudomonadati; Pseudomonadota; Gammaproteobacteria; Oceanospirillales; Halomonadaceae. The record is from RNAcentral.